This 467-nucleotide ribosomal RNA is filed under the name uncultured bacterium. RNAcentral describes it as "partial 16S ribosomal RNA". It matches the Rfam family "Bacterial small subunit ribosomal RNA", at positions 29 to 507 of the family's 1533-position model. The record is from RNAcentral.
ACGAACGCUGGCGGCGUGCUUCACACCUGCCAGUCGAACGGAAAGGCCCUGCUUUUGUGGGGUGCUCGAGUGGCGAACGGGUGAGUAACACGUGAGUAACCUGCCCUUGACUUUGGGAUAACUUCAGGAAACUGGGGCUAAUACCGGAUAGGAGCUCCUGCUGCAUGGUGGGGGUUGGAAAGUUUCGGCGGUUGGGGAUGGACUCGCGGCUUAUCAGCUUGUUGGUGGGGUAGUGGCUUACCAAGGCUUUGACGGGUAGCCGGCCUGAGAGGGUGACCGGCCACAUUGGGACUGAGAUACGGCCCAGACUCCUACGGGAGGCAGCAGUGGGGAAUAUUGCACAAUGGGCGGAAGCCUGAUGCAGCAACGCCGCGUGCGGGAUGACGGCCUUCGGGUUGUAAACCGCUUUCGCCUGUGACGAAGCGUGAGUGAAGGUAAUGGGUAAAGAAGCACCGGCUAACUACGUG